CCUACGGGUGGCAGCAGUGAGGAAUAUUGGUCAAUGGACGCAAGUCUGAACCAGCCAUGCCGCGUGCAGGAAGAAGGUGCUAUGCAUUGUAAACUGCUUUUAUACGGGGGUAAUUACAGAUACGUGUAUCUGGAUGAAAGUACCGUAUGAAUAAGGAUCGGCUAACUCCGUGCCAGCAGCCGCGGUAAUACGGAGGAUCCGAGCGUUAUCCGGAUUUAUUGGGUUUAAAGGGAGCGUAGAUGGGUUGUUAAGUCAGUUGUGAAAGUUUGCGGCUCAACCGUAAAAUUGCAAUUGAUACUGGCAGUCUUGAGUACAGUUGAGGUAGGCGGAAUUCGUGGUGUAGCGGUGAAAUGCUUAGAUAUCACGAAGAACUCCGAUUGCGAAGGCAGCUUACUAAACUGCCACUGACAUUGAUGCUCGAAAGUGUGGGUAUCAAACAGGAUUAGAUACCCGGGUAGUC
This 460-nucleotide ribosomal RNA is filed under the name uncultured bacterium. Its description in RNAcentral is "partial 16S ribosomal RNA". It matches the Rfam family "Bacterial small subunit ribosomal RNA", at positions 338 to 795 of the family's 1533-position model. The record is from RNAcentral.